RNAcentral lists this ribosomal RNA (465 nucleotides) under uncultured Enterobacter sp. RNAcentral describes it as "bacterial SSU rRNA". It matches the Rfam family "Bacterial small subunit ribosomal RNA", at positions 338 to 795 of the family's 1533-position model. Lineage: Bacteria; Pseudomonadati; Pseudomonadota; Gammaproteobacteria; Enterobacterales; Enterobacteriaceae. The record is from RNAcentral.
CCUACGGGCGGCUGCAGUGGGGAAUAUUGCACAAUGGGCGCAAGCCUGAUGCAGCCAUGCCGCGUGUAUGAAGAAGGCCUUCGGGUUGUAAAGUACUUUCAGCGGGGAGGAAGGCGAUAAGGUUAAUAACCUUGUCGAUUGACGUUACCCGCAGAAGAAGCACCGGCUAACUCCGUGCCAGCAGCCGCGGUAAUACGGAGGGUGCAAGCGUUAAUCGGAAUUACUGGGCGUAAAGCGCACGCAGGCGGUCUGUCAAGUCGGAUGUGAAAUCCCCGGGCUCAACCUGGGAACUGCAUUCGAAACUGGCAGGCUGGAGUCUUGUAGAGGGGGGUAGAAUUCCAGGUGUAGCGGUGAAAUGCGUAGAGAUCUGGAGGAAUACCGGUGGCGAAGGCGGCCCCCUGGACAAAGACUGACGCUCAGGUGCGAAAGCGUGGGGAGCAAACAGGAUUAGAUACCCCAGUAGUC